Molecule: transfer RNA, 69 nt
Filed under: Marmota monax (woodchuck)
Lineage: Eukaryota; Metazoa; Chordata; Mammalia; Rodentia; Sciuridae
Description: tRNA.Thr
Rfam family: tRNA
About the family: Transfer RNA (tRNA) molecules are approximately 80 nucleotides in length.
Source: RNAcentral
GCUUGUGGCUCAGUGGUAGAGCACUUGCCUAGUAUGCGUGAGGCACUGAGUUCAUUCCCCAGCAACACA